AGAGUUUGAUCCUGGCUCAGGAUGAACGCUGGCGGCGUGCUUAACACAUGCAAGUCGAACGAUUAACCCACCUUCGGGUGGUUAUAGAGUGGCGAACGGGUGAGUAACACGUGACCAACCUACCCCUUACAUUGGGAUAACUCAGAGAAAUCUGUGCUAAUACCAAAUACUCCGGAUAAAUCGCAUGGUUUUCCGGGAAAGCUUUUGCGGUAAGGGAUGGGGUCGCGGCCUAUUAGGUAGUUGGUGGGGUAACGGCCUACCAAGCCUGCGAUAGGUAGCCGGGUUGAGAGACUGAUCGGCCACAUUGGGACUGAGAUACGGCCCAGACUCCUACGGGAGGCAGCA
Molecule: ribosomal RNA, 345 nt
Filed under: uncultured bacterium
Lineage: Bacteria
Description: bacterial SSU rRNA
Rfam family: Bacterial small subunit ribosomal RNA
Source: RNAcentral